UGGGGAAUAUUGGACAAUGGGCGCAAGCCUGAUCCAGCCAUGCCGCGUGAGUGAUGAAGGCCCUAGGGUUGUAAAGCUCUUUCACCGGUGAAGAUAAUGACGGUAACCGGAGAAGAAGCCCCGGCUAACUUCGUGCCAGCAGCCGCGGUAAUACGAAGGGGGCUAGCGUUGUUCGGAUUUACUGGGCGUAAAGCGCACGUAGGCGGACUUUUAAGUCAGGGGUGAAAUCCCGGGGCUCAACCCCGGAACUGCCUUUGAUACUGGAAGUCUUGAGUAUGGUAGAGGUGAGUGGAAUUCCGAGUGUAGAGGUGAAAUUCGUAGAUAUUCGGAGGAACACCAGUGGCGAAGGCGGCUCACUGGACCAUUACUGACGCUGAGGUGCGAAAGCGUGGGGAGCAAACAGGUUAGAUACCCUGGUAGUCCACGCCCGUAAACGAUGAAUGUUAGCCGUUGGGGAGUUUACUCUUCGGUGGCGCAGCUAACGCAUUAAACAUUCCGCCUGGGGAGUACGUCGCAAGAG
RNAcentral lists this ribosomal RNA (520 nucleotides) under uncultured bacterium. Its description in RNAcentral is "partial 16S ribosomal RNA". It matches the Rfam family "Bacterial small subunit ribosomal RNA", at positions 355 to 894 of the family's 1533-position model. The record is from RNAcentral.